Molecule: unclassified non-coding RNA, 311 nt
Filed under: Hevea brasiliensis (rubber tree)
Lineage: Eukaryota; Viridiplantae; Streptophyta; Magnoliopsida; Malpighiales; Euphorbiaceae
Source: RNAcentral
GAAAGCCUACCUGCGCGAGGACUUCUUCUGGGCCUUCACCCCUGCCGCGGGGGACUUCAUCCGCUUCCGCUUCUUCCAACCUCUAAGACUGGAGCGGUUCUUCUUCCGCAGUGGGAACAUCGAGCACCCGGAGGACAAGCUCUUCAACACGUCUGUGGAGGUGCUGCCCUUCGACAACCCUCAGUCAGACAAGGAGGCCCUGCAGGAGGGCCGCACCGCCACCCUCCGGUACCCUCGGAGCCCCGACGGCUACCUCCAGAUCGGCUCCUUCUACAAGGGAGUGGCAGAGGGAGAGGUGGACCCAGCCUUCG